GACGAACGCUGGCGGCGCGCCUAACACAUGCAAGUCGAACGAGCGAGAGAGAGCUUGCUUUCUCAAGCGAGUGGCGAACGGGUGAGUAACGCGUGAGGAACCUGCCUCAAAGAGGGGGACAACAGUUGGAAACGACUGCUAAUACCGCAUAAGCCCACGACCCGGCAUCGGGUAGAGGAAAAGGAGCAAUCCGCUUUGAGAUGGCCUCGCGUCCGAUUAGCUAGUUGGUGAGGUAAUGGCCCACCAAGGCGACGAUCGGUAGCCGGACUGAGAGGUUGAACGGCCACAUUGGGACUGAGACACGGCCCAGACUCCUACGGGAGGCAGCAGUGGGGAAUAUUGCACAAUGGGGGAAACCCUGAUGCAGCGACGCCGCGUGGAGGAAGAAGGUCUUCGGAUUGUAAACUCCUGU
Molecule: ribosomal RNA, 412 nt
Filed under: uncultured bacterium
Lineage: Bacteria
Description: bacterial SSU rRNA
Rfam family: Bacterial small subunit ribosomal RNA
Source: RNAcentral